Molecule: ribosomal RNA, 468 nt
Filed under: uncultured bacterium
Lineage: Bacteria
Description: partial 16S ribosomal RNA
Rfam family: Bacterial small subunit ribosomal RNA
Source: RNAcentral
GACGAACGCUGGCGGCGUGCUUAACACAUGCAAGUCGAACGGAAAGGCCCUGCUUUUGUGGGGUGCUCGUGUGGCGAACGGGUGAGUAACACGUGAGUAACCUGCCCUUGACUUUGGGGUAACUUCAGGAAACUGGGGCUCAUACCGGAUAGGAGCUCCUGCUGCAUGGUGGGGGUUGGAAAGUUUCGGCGGUUGGGGAUGGACUCGCGGCUUAUCAGCUUGUUGGUGUGGUAGUGGCUUACCAAGGCUUUGACGGGUAGCCGGCAUGAGAGGGUGACCGGCGACAAGGGGACUGAGAUACGGCCCAGACUCGAACCGGAGGCAGCAGUGGGAAAUCUGACACAACGGGCGGAAGUGUGUUGCAAAAAUGCCGGGUGCGGGAUGACGGCCUUCGGGUUGUAAACAGAUGUCGCCUGUGACGAAGAGUGAGUGACGGUAAUGGGUAAAGAAGCACCGGCUAACUACGUG